AUACAGAGGGUGCGAGCGUUAAUCGGAAUUACUGGGCGUAAAGCGCGCGUAGGCGGCUUAUUAAGUCAGAUGUGAAAUCCCCGGGCUCAACCUGGGAACUGCAUCUGAUACUGGUAAGCUAGAGUUUGGGAGGGGGAAGUAGAAUUUCAGGUGUAGCGGUGAAAUGCAUAGAGAUCUGAAGGAAUAUCAGUGGCGAAGGCGACUUCCUGGCCUAAAACUGACGCUGAGGUGCGAAAGCGUGGGUAGCAAACGGGAUUAGAAACCCCAGUAGUCC
This 274-nucleotide ribosomal RNA is filed under the name uncultured bacterium. RNAcentral's name for it is "partial 16S ribosomal RNA". It matches the Rfam family "Bacterial small subunit ribosomal RNA", at positions 523 to 796 of the family's 1533-position model. The record is from RNAcentral.